This 2314-nucleotide long non-coding RNA is filed under the name Lathyrus oleraceus (garden pea). Its description in RNAcentral is "Pisum sativum (pea) long non-coding RNA (PSAT_LNC001968)". The record is from RNAcentral. Lineage: Eukaryota; Viridiplantae; Streptophyta; Magnoliopsida; Fabales; Fabaceae.
UCACGCAUGUCUCACGGCAAUAGGCUGGGAGAAGUUAAUCACGUGUUAGCCAGUCAACCAGAUAUUUAAACGUAUUAUUUCCCUCAUCCUGAGCUAACUUAUGUCUGCCGCGUUGGAGAUCUCCUCCGGCGGCGGCGAAACCCUAAUGUCAACAUAAUCUAUAUCAUCUCCUUCACCUUCGUCUCAUGAUUACAAAUAUCACCAUAAUACAAUCCAAUUCUUUUUCAAAGAUCUGAACCGAAGAAAUGUAUUGAAGAACCAUAAAUCUUAGAUUCAAAAUUAAAUCAAAACCACAUGGAACCAAAGACCGAUAGGUUGGGUCUUUGAUUCCCCAAGCCCCCCUCUACAUCCCUGUAACCAGCAUGAAGCAAAUCAUUGAAGAAAGAAGAUCACUCACCAGCACCGAUGAUGGAAAUCAGGUACGAUCUGAAUCUUCUUCCUCUUCGUCUGAUUCUUCUUCCCCUUUCUUCUUCUGAAACGUCUUCUUCUGAAUCCUGAGAGAUCGUGAGUUUUGAGAAUUCAAGAGAAAGUGUGAUGAAUCGGAGGUUUUGCAGGAGUCUAGCUCGAGCACGUUGAAGCUUCAAUAUGAAGCUUCAAUGGUUGCUGAAGAUGAGCUUUGAGUGAGGGUAAUGGAGAAAAGUUGCAGAGAUUCUGAGAGAAAAUUGAGAGUAUUGAUCAGUGUGUGUAAGAAUGAUUGAAUGAGGGUGAAGAGAAAAUUAUAUAGAGAGAAGGUUCAGAUCAAAUGGAGGAUUGGAGUGAGGGUAGGAGUUAGUUAGAUUCAACUCACCGAGUCAACUGCAAACUCAGCUAGUUAUUGAAUUGAACUCAGUGAGAAGUUAGUUAGGUUAAUAAAAUUCUGUUAGUGAAUGAAAAAAUUCAGUGUAAGGAGUUUAACUGUUAAUGAUUGAGUGAAUAUGAGUUCAGUUCAAUUUCUGUUAUAUUGGUGAAAGUUCAGUUAAGUUUAGUUGAAAAAGAAAACAACUAUAUUAGUCAUUAAGUUAUUAGUUGGUGAGAUGAAUUGUUGUUGGAUGGAAAUGUCAGUUCAGUUUAAAGUUAAUGAAGCUUUAUUCUCUAUUAAUGAAAUGAGUUGUUAGAUGUUAAUGUUAAUUGAUUUUCUCAAUUUUAAAAGUUAUGUCAAUUGGUUAGCUCGAUUGUUGUAGGAUUUGUUUGAUGCAGGUCUAGGUGAGGACCUUGAUACAAGUUAGGGGUUGCAGGCUGACUUGUGGAACUAGUUUAACCAUGUUAUUGGGAGCAAAUUGGUGAUUGAACCAUGUGAUUGCAUUCAAACUACAGACCAAGGCAUGCUACAGGCUUUUCCAUUCAAUUUGUUUGUUGCACUCCAACGGUUUCUGCAUGGAUGUGUUGUUGUUUAGAUGCUAUCCAUGUUCUACAUGGUUAUACUAUGGUUGUUUGUUAUGUAAUGCAAAUGAUGUAGUAGUGUAAUGUAUGUUGACUGGCUUGCUCAUGUUGGUGGUUUAAUGCUUGUUCCUGCAGGUUCAUGCUUGUGUAACAGUAUGAUUGGUAAGUAUGUGUGGAUUGCAGCAUCUAUGUGUGUGUUUAGGUCCUGAUGCAGGUUGAGCAUGUGUAGAACAACGAAAAUUGGUUUGGAUUGAACAAGAUGCUAGCCAUGAUGAAUAUACAUGCUGCUACUACAUUGUGAAUGAUGUUGAACUGAACUCAUGUUAACCAUUUCCCUGCUGUUGAUUGUUGUUGUUUUGUAGGUCUACUGUAGAAUUUUGGAAGGCUUUUUGUCAUUUGUAUUGCAUAUGGCUGCUUAGAUCAUGAAUAUGUGCAUGUAUGUGUUCAUGUUAGUUGUUAUCUUUUAUGAAAUAUGGGAUAGGUUAGGCAUAAUCUUCGAAUGUAUGCUUGGUUUGAUCUUGUUUGGAUUGAUGGCUGCAUGAUUUUAGUGCAAGGCCUAUUUUAGUGCAAGGCCUGGUUUGUGUGAUUGGUCAUGGUUGCAAGGAAAAAUCUAAAUGUAUUGAAAGCAUGAGCAAAUUCAAGGCAUGACAAACUUGGUGCAAAAUGGCUUUCUUGACAUGAAGCAAUAUGGUGAUAAAAUCUCAUGAAAUAAUGCAAGAGUGAAUAUGUAAUGCACAUUAGUGUUUAGAUUAUGGAAAAAAGGUUGGUUGACCAAAAAAUCAACAGUUGACCAAAAGUCAACCUUUGUAAAAAUUGCAUUUUUUGCAUUUCCUUUUGUAAUUGACAAUGUAAAUGCUAUUUUAAUGAUUGAAUAAUCAUUUACUUGAAUGAAAUGAUCCAGGAUUAAAUGUUAAACAAAAUGUCUUCAAAAAAUGAAUUUUACUUGAAAAUCCAA